RNAcentral lists this long non-coding RNA (275 nucleotides) under Homo sapiens (human). RNAcentral's name for it is "non-protein coding lnc-NPAP1-1:1". Lineage: Eukaryota; Metazoa; Chordata; Mammalia; Primates; Hominidae. The record is from RNAcentral.
CAAGCAUUCCUAAAGGGUCUCUACUUUUUGUAGCCUGGGGAUUUUCUACUCCCCCAACAGCCAGAUGAGGCAGAAACCCCUACAGACAUCCCUAUGUGCCUCCUGUGCAAGUGCAGUUGCCCCUUGAAGGCAGUUCUCCUGCUGCAGACCACGCCCACCAAGGGCAGAGUCACAGCCACUGCAGCUGAGCUCAGAGCCUUCUGUGGGGUCUGCAGGGGCAAGGCCAGCUGUCCCCUGGGAUAGUUUGAAGAAUGCAGUUUGUUUGUAUAAUAAAG